This is a non-coding RNA of Cicer arietinum (chickpea), 107 nucleotides long. Lineage: Eukaryota; Viridiplantae; Streptophyta; Magnoliopsida; Fabales; Fabaceae. The record is from Rfam.
GUUUGUCCCUUUGAGAACAUUUGAUUAAAUUAAAACAAUACAGAAAAGAUUAGUUCGACCUCUACACAAAAAUAACAUGCACAAAUCGAAAAAUAGUCUCAAAAAUU